This 97-nucleotide transfer RNA is filed under the name Cercophora newfieldiana. Its description in RNAcentral is "tRNA-Ile". Lineage: Eukaryota; Fungi; Ascomycota; Sordariomycetes; Sordariales; Lasiosphaeriaceae. The record is from RNAcentral.
GCUUGAUUAGCUCAGCUGGUUAGAGCGUCGUACUAAUACAGAAUAUCAUCUGUAUCCAGUCAUGCGAAGGUCAACAGUUCAAUCCUGUUAUCGAGCA